This is a long non-coding RNA of Mastomys coucha (southern multimammate mouse), 598 nucleotides long. RefSeq lists it as uncharacterized. The record is from RefSeq and is a predicted model, not a curated record. NCBI's taxonomy places the organism in Eukaryota, Metazoa, Chordata, Mammalia, Rodentia, Muridae. The transcript has 4 exons.
GGUAGACUGGAUAAGAACCAGUGUGAGGUAUGGUGGACUGAAUGAGAACCACUGUGAGGAGCUUGAGGCUGGAGGAAAAACACGCGGUGACAGAUGGAACCAACUACAGGAGAAAGUCUUGCAACUGUGUUCCUGUGGGAAUACAGAAGCCUUUGGAGAACAGAAAAGGGUAUCUGCCCUCCAGUUGGUCGUGAAAGCUGAACUCAGGUCCUCUGCAAGAUCAUCCAGCACUCUUAACUCUUGAGCCACCUCUCCAGUCUCAACAAGAGCCUAGCAUAACUGUCCUCUGAGAGGCUCCACCCAGCAGCUGACUGAAACAGAUGGAAAGACCCACAAACAAACAUUAGACGGAGCUUGGAGAGUCUCGUGGACGAAUUGGGGGAAGGAAUGAGGAAUUCCAUAAGAAAACCAACAGAGUCAACAAACCUGGACACUUUGGGGCUCCCAGAAACUGAACCACCAACGAAAGAGCAUGUUUGGGCUGGACAUAGCCUCCCCAACCACUCCAUAUUUGUAAUAGAUGUGCAGCUUGGUCUUUGUAUGGGUCCCCAACCAACUGGAGCAGGGGCUGUCCCUGACUCUGUUGCCUGCCUGUGGA